Malaya genurostris is the source of this 364-nucleotide long non-coding RNA. RefSeq lists it as uncharacterized. NCBI's taxonomy places the organism in Eukaryota, Metazoa, Arthropoda, Insecta, Diptera, Culicidae. The record is from RefSeq and is a predicted model, not a curated record. The transcript is spliced from 3 exons.
CUUCAACAAGCGUUCGAGCGUUGCACCAAGCAGCUUAAUCCCAAUGCUGACAUCUCCGGCACUUUUCGAAAAUGUCUGUUACUAGAAGAAGGAAUCUUCAAUGAAGUGGAAGAUCGAGACAUUAGAGGAGCUUUGAAGGCUUUGACUUAUUUGACCGCAAGAGGAGUGAAACGUGAUUUAUUCGGACUAGAUAUGAGUCCUGCCGCUACUGUUGCUUUGCCUCUAAUCAAAUGAAUACCGGAAGCAGAAUGGCUACCAAAUGUACAACUUCCGUCACCACAUUUGUCAAUAAUUUGUUUAUCAGAACAGUGGAAAAAAGGGAAAUAUGUUGUUGAAGUAUCUCCAAAGAAAUUCAUCAAGGUGG